This 776-nucleotide ribosomal RNA is filed under the name uncultured Neocallimastigales. RNAcentral's name for it is "partial large subunit ribosomal RNA". It matches the Rfam family "Eukaryotic large subunit ribosomal RNA", at positions 24 to 646 of the family's 3401-position model. The record is from RNAcentral. Lineage: Eukaryota; Fungi; Neocallimastigomycota; Neocallimastigomycetes; Neocallimastigales.
GUAGUCUCGCACAGAUGCAUAUCAAUAAGCGGAGGAAAAGAAACUAACAAGGAUUCCCCUAGUAACGGCGAGUGAAGCGGGAAGAGCUCAAAUUUGAAAUCUUAAAGGGUUUCCCUUUACGAAUUGUAGUUUAAAGAAGUGUUUUCUGUUGAGGUUUUGGUAAAAGUUCUUUGGAAUAGGACAUCAUAGAGGGUGAGAAUCCCGUAUUUGACCUUUACUUUCAACUUUGUGAUACACUUUCAAAGAGUCGGAUUGUAUUGGGAAUGCAGUCCAAAAUGGGUGGUAAAUUUCAUCUAAAGCUAAAUAUUGGCGAGAGACCGAUAGCAAACAAGUACCGUGAGGGAAAGAUGAAAAGAACUUUGAAAAGAGAGUUAAACAGUACGUGAAAUUGUCAAAAGGGAAGCGUUUGACACCAGUGUUGUUUUUCUGAAAAUCAAUUAAAGAACUGUUUAUGCUAAGCUGUUUAGACUUUAUCAGCUAAUCUGUUUAGUUUUGAGCUUUUCUUUAAUGCACUUUUCAGUUAACAAGUCAGCAUCAAUUUCUUUUGCUGUAAAAAAGCUUGAGGAAGGUGGCUUGAGAUUCGUCUUAAGUGUUUAUAGCCUCUUGCCUAUGCAGUCGGAGAGAUUGAGGUCUGCAGCGUAGAUCCUUCGGGGCUAAAUGCAUUUGUGCUAAGUUAUAACAUUUUAUAGACAACUUGUUGACUAUGACUUGUCUUGUAGCUUACUCGCUUAUGUUAUUUUACCUACGCUUAGGAUGUUGAUCUGUAGUGCGUGCGC